This 227-nucleotide ribosomal RNA is filed under the name uncultured Bacteroides sp. RNAcentral describes it as "partial 16S ribosomal RNA". It matches the Rfam family "Bacterial small subunit ribosomal RNA", at positions 383 to 607 of the family's 1533-position model. Lineage: Bacteria; Pseudomonadati; Bacteroidota; Bacteroidia; Bacteroidales; Bacteroidaceae. The record is from RNAcentral.
CUGAACCAGCCAAGUAGCGUGAAGGAUGAAGGUCCUACGGAUUGUAAACUUCUUUUAUACGGGAAUAAAGUAUCCUACGGGUAGGAUUUUGUAUGUACCGUAUGAAUAAGCAUCGGCUAACUCCGUGCCAGCAGCCGCGGUAAUACGGAGGAUGCGAGCGUUAUCCGGAUUUAUUGGGUUUAAAGGGAGCGCAGACGGGAGAUUAAGUCAGUUGUGAAAGUUUGCGG